RNAcentral lists this ribosomal RNA (246 nucleotides) under uncultured bacterium. RNAcentral describes it as "partial small subunit ribosomal RNA". It matches the Rfam family "Bacterial small subunit ribosomal RNA", at positions 26 to 286 of the family's 1533-position model. The record is from RNAcentral.
AGAAUCAACGCUGGCGGCGUGCCUAACACAUGCAAGUCGAACGAGAAAGUGGAGCAAUCCAUGAGUAAAGUGGCGCACGGGUGAGUAACACGUGACUAACCUACCCUUGAGUGGGGGAUAACCUAGGGAAACCUGGGCUAAUACCGCAUAAUACCCACGGGUCAAAGGAGCAAUUCGCUUAAGGAGGGGGUCGCGGCCGAUUAGUUAGUUGGCGGGGUAAUGGCCCACCAAGACUGUGAUCGGUAU